CUACAGUGAUGAUCUCUGAACUCUCUCUUACUGAAUCAGCCUUGAAGAUACUUCUUUACCAGAUUCUGAGUUGC
Molecule: small nucleolar RNA, 74 nt
Organism: Larimichthys crocea (large yellow croaker)
Lineage: Eukaryota; Metazoa; Chordata; Actinopteri; Sciaenidae
Gene: SNORD26
Rfam family: Small nucleolar RNA SNORD26
About the family: U26 is a member of the C/D class of snoRNA which contain the C (UGAUGA) and D (CUGA) box motifs. U26 is encoded within the U22 snoRNA host gene (UHG) in mammals and is thought to act as a 2'-O-ribose methylation guide for ribosomal RNA.
Source: Ensembl